RNAcentral lists this transfer RNA (73 nucleotides) under Crassvirales sp. RNAcentral describes it as "tRNA-Gln". It matches the Rfam family "tRNA". From Rfam's summary of the family: Transfer RNA (tRNA) molecules are approximately 80 nucleotides in length. Their secondary structure includes four short double-helical elements and three loops (D, anti-codon, and T loops). The record is from RNAcentral. Lineage: Duplodnaviria; Heunggongvirae; Uroviricota; Caudoviricetes; Crassvirales.
UGCCCCUUGGUGUAAUUGGUUAGCACAUGACAUUUUGGAUGUCAUAGUCUCAGUUCAAGUCUGGUAGGGGUAA